CAUCCUGAUUGCAUGCAGAGAGGUAGGCCUGUCACCCUCCUGCCCCUACAAUCCUAGGCCAUCCCAGCUAGGGAGGGGCACAGCCAGGCUAAGGAAGGGAGGACUCUGGGCAGAAGCCAGGUGGCCCCCCUUGCAAGAAGUACCUGGUAGGUGGAGGGGGCAAAUCUCAUUAGCCAGCAGACUUUCAGGGUCUCCAGCGCUGACUGCCUGGUGUUUCCUCCCCACCACCCAGUGCCAGGGCAGGUCCUCCUGAGCAGGGCACAGCAGGGCACUCUUCCACUUCUGAGCUUUGAGCUGGUGGCCCUCCACUGUGGUCACCUAGCUGAGAAGGCUCCUGGGUCUUGGGGCACUGUUGCUGCUUAGAGGGAGCCCUGGGACUGGGGGAGGCUCAUCCAUCUGCAACCUGGCUGUGGAGGUUUUGGAGACUGGCCCCACUUGCCUGGAGCCAUGAUGGAGAGUUUCUGUGUAUGGCACUGCCAGGGCACUGUCCUGUGGAUCCAGGUUUCCUAGGCAACACAGCCAGACCCACUCCCUCCUGAUGUGUGACCCAAGUCCUUGACACCCUGGGUUCCAGCUGGCCCUUGCCCUGGGGUCCAGCCACCAACCUCUGCAUCUCACUGUGAUGCCCAGACAGGCCAAAUGCUUCAAGUCUGGUACCCCAUGCCUCGGUUUCCCCUUAUGUCAAACGGAAGGCAUGACUGAAGAAGAGCCUCUCCUGUCCAGUGCCAACCCCUUGGAGGAGCUGGGCAGUGGCCUGCGGUCGGCUCCCUUUCCCCUACCUCCGUCCUGGUUGGCAGAACGCCUGUCCAGGGCCUCCAUCUGGAAACGAUUGGACUCGCAGUCCUCAAAGAUAUAAUUAAAAUACACUGGGU
RNAcentral lists this long non-coding RNA (872 nucleotides) under Marmota monax (woodchuck). The record is from RNAcentral. Lineage: Eukaryota; Metazoa; Chordata; Mammalia; Rodentia; Sciuridae.